GUGCCAGCAGCCGCGGUAAUACGUAGGUGGCAAGCGUUGUCCGGAAUUACUGGGCGUAAAGGGUGCGCAGGCGGACAUUUAAGUGAGAUGUGAAAGACCCGGGCUUAACUUGGGCAGUGCAUUUCAAACUGGAUGUCUGGAGUGCAGGAGAGGAGAACGGAAUUCCUAGUGUAGCGGUGAAAUGCGUGAAGAUUAGGAAUAACCACAGUGGCGAAGGCGGUUCUCGGGACUGUAACUGAC
RNAcentral lists this ribosomal RNA (240 nucleotides) under uncultured bacterium. RNAcentral describes it as "partial 16S rRNA". It matches the Rfam family "Bacterial small subunit ribosomal RNA", at positions 505 to 744 of the family's 1533-position model. The record is from RNAcentral.